CUGGAGAAGCUGUGGCCAUCUACACAACUACUGUGCAUUGGUUAGAAUCAAGAAAAUUCUCUCCUAUACCUUUCCCUCCACUGUCAAUCAAGCAUGGUACUAAGCUACUCAUCCUUGCUCUGGAAAGGCUAAAAGAAUCAUACAGUGUGGCGGUGAGAUUGAACCAGUUACAAAGGGAAGAAUUGGGUCUUAUUGAACAGGCGUAUGAUAACCCUCAUGAAGCUUUGUCAAGGAUAAAGCGUCACUUACACAACGGGCCUUCAAAGAAGUUGGCAUCGAGUUCAUGGAUUUGUAUAGCUAUCUGAUUCCAGUAUAUGAGGUUGAGCCUCUAGAGAAAAUAACAGAUGCAUACCUAGAUCAGUAUCUAUGGUAUGAAGGUGACAAGAGACAUCUUUUCCCAAAUUGGAUUAAACCUGCUGAUUCAGAACCACCGCCUCUACUCGUAUAUAAAUGGUGCCAAGGUAUCAAUAACUGGGCGUAUGGGAUACGAGUGACGGGCAAUGUGUUGUGAUGCUUCAAACAAAUUUCUGAGAAGUUCUUUGAGAAGAUUGAUUUGACCAUGUUGAACAGGCUUCUAAGGUUGGUGCUUGAUCACAGCAUUGCGGACUACGUGACUGCUAAAAACAAUGUGGUGUUAUCUUACGAGGAUAUGGGUUGCACAAACUCAUAUGGUCUCGUUCGUGGCCUGCAAUUUGCCUCUUUUGUAGUUCAAUAUUAUGGGCUGGUACUUGACCUCUUGCUUCUCGGGUUAACUCGAGCCAGUGAAAUUGUGAGAGAUGUUGGACAUUUUGGAUAUUAGAGACAAAUAUAUAAUAUUAGAUGCUUUUCAUUGUGAGAGAUUGGAAGUUAUCAUUGUGUAUGUUUAUGUUUUGUCUCUAAUAUUGUAUAUUAAGUAAACAUUGUGUAUGAAUAUAUAACAAUGGAUAUUUA
Long non-coding RNA from Asparagus officinalis (garden asparagus), 930 nucleotides. RefSeq lists it as uncharacterized. The transcript is spliced from 3 exons. The record is from RefSeq and is a predicted model, not a curated record. NCBI's taxonomy places the organism in Eukaryota, Viridiplantae, Streptophyta, Magnoliopsida, Asparagales, Asparagaceae.